Molecule: long non-coding RNA, 1575 nt
Filed under: Bemisia tabaci
Lineage: Eukaryota; Metazoa; Arthropoda; Insecta; Hemiptera; Aleyrodidae
Description: lncRNA ENSASIAIIG008983
Source: RNAcentral
GUGCUAACUGGCUACACGAUGCUUAUCAGCAGGCUUGUCUGGUCUUGAGUGCUCUAAAACUUUCAUCGGGUAUCCUACGAGAAGGAGGAUGGUUCGUAACCAAGGUCUUCAGGUCCAAAGAUUAUAACCCUCUGAUCUGGGUCUUACAACAGUUUUUUAAGAAGGUGCGGUAUUUCUAAAUUCUUCCUUGCAAUGAAAAAUGUUUCCGUAUAGUGCCUAAUACAAUUAUGUAAAUGUGUCUCCCCAAAAUCAGGGUGUCUACUGGUCCGAAAAGUCUACAAAUAGUUCUGAUUUUUCAGAAGCUGUCUGGAAGUACUGAUGAAGUAUGGAAAUUUAGCAAAUAGGUUGUGGACCGCGCGUGUUUUUUUAAGACAGCUUGGAAAGUAUGCAAUCCUUUGCGCAUUGAUUCUUAGUGCAGUAUUUGCUUGUUUGAUUGUGUUUGUGCAGCUUGUGUAUCUUCAAACCACCAAUGAGCUUCGCAUUUAAUGGCUACGUCAUUUUUGUCGCAAUUUGCAAACGUCACAUAAAGGUACUGAAAAAGUACUGACUGUUUUGAGCAAGAAGGUCUAAAUACUUUGAGAAAGAACUAAAAAAAUUUCUCCAGCUAGUUUUAGUUGACACCCAGAAGAUCUUUUCCCAAUACAUAUUCUUUGAUGUUGGUUAUUCGGCACAAUCCCUCAUUUUUUCUCUUUUUUUCCUGUUGCAUCAGUCGAUAUUUGCACUAUUUUUGUUGUAGGUUCAUGCACCAAACCGCAAGCCUCCCGUCUUGAAUCGGCUGAGAUUUUCGUCGUUUGUCAGCACUACCUCGCUCCCACUAAAAUCGACCCAAAACUUUUCGAUCCACGCCAUGUAUUUCAAGAGUUAGACCUGGAACCCAAAGUCAAACUUUUUGACACGCAGAAGCCAAAAGCGGAGGGAUACUCAGAGACUUACAGUGUGUAUGGUACCAGAGUUCCAGUCUCAGAAUUUUUGAAGAAUGAAUCUCCGAUGGUCCUGUUCCAGCAUGCAGCUGAGAUCACAUUUGAUCCAGAGACAGAAGGACAUCUGCUAAAUCAUCCUCUAACAACGGACGAAAUCAAGGAAUGUUGCAAAGACAUUAAAGUUCUUGGUCGCAAGGAUAUUCGUAACCUGGUCAGUUGGAGAAAACAUCUAGUUGCAGCUCUUCUGAAAGAGAAAGAAGAAGAAGACAAGAAAAAUAUUGUCCCUGUGGAGACUAAACCAGAAAUAAAAGCCGUUUCUGACAGCGAAGAUGAUCUGGAUGAAGAUGAGAAGGAUUUGGAAACUGCCUCUAAGGAAAUUGAAGCAAUGCAGGUAAUUUAUCAAAGAGCAAGAAGUUUAGUUUUCAUCUUGACCGAAGUAGACCAAAGGAUUUUAGAAGAAAGAAGUGAACUCAUGUAAACAAUAAAUGCUUUUUUUCCACUAAUAGUCAGGGUUUGGAAAGUGUUAGUACGCCCAUCAUACUCAACGUAAAAUUUUGAUAAGGAGCACAUAUUGUUGUGCUAAAUUUUUCACUCCGUUUAGUUGUCAAUUAAUUAUGAUAAAUCACCAAUGAAUGGUGUCUCCAAAUAGCUUUAA